Molecule: ribosomal RNA, 216 nt
Filed under: uncultured bacterium
Lineage: Bacteria
Description: partial 16S ribosomal RNA
Rfam family: Bacterial small subunit ribosomal RNA
Source: RNAcentral
UCCUAGCCGUAAACGAUGGGCACUAGGUAGGGGAGGUUCCGAUGCCAUCCCUGCCGUAGGGAAACCGAUAAGUGCCCCGCCUGGGGAGUACGGCCGCAAGGCUAAAACUCAAAGGAAUUGACGGGGGCCCGCACAAGCGGUGGAGCACGUGGCUUAAUUCGAGGCAAACCGAAGAACCUUAUCCUGGGCUUGACAUGCUUUAAAUCCGAAAGGGGG